UAUACUUAAAAUAGCUCAGAAAUGGUGAAAUUAAAAUUGUGAUAUGCGAAGAAUUCAGAACACUCCUCAUAUCUGGUUUUGUGCAUACAGGAUAAAGAAAUAUGGCAACUCACGUGUAAAGAAGCAGAUAAGGAAACCACAACACCUACAGUUCCUCUUUUGGCUGCUCACAAAAGGCAAGCGUCUGUAGAAACUGUUGUGAAAAAUUAUGAAGAACACUAUGCUGCUAUGCACAUUCAAGUAGCUUUUAGGAGAUACUUGGACCGCAAAAGCCUGCGGAGACCUACAGUUCCUCUUUUGGCUGCUCACAAAAGGCGAGCGUCUGUAGAAACUGUUGUGAAAAAUUAUGAAGAACACUAUGCUGCUACGUGCAUUCAAGUAGCUUUUAGGAGAUACUUGGACCGCAAAAGCCUGCGGAGACCUACAGUUCCUUUUUUGGCUGCUCACAAAAGGCGAGCGUCUGUAGAAACUGUUGUGAAAAAUUAUGAAGAACACUAUGCUGCUACGCGCAUUCAAGUAGCUUUUAGGAGAUACUUGGACCGCAAAAGCCUGAGGAGACUAGUAGUUCUGCAAAAUGCUAUCCAAACC
Molecule: long non-coding RNA, 588 nt
Filed under: Fragaria vesca (wild strawberry)
Lineage: Eukaryota; Viridiplantae; Streptophyta; Magnoliopsida; Rosales; Rosaceae
Description: long non-coding RNA (FVES_LNC002651)
Source: RNAcentral